Molecule: ribosomal RNA, 523 nt
Filed under: Nitzschia sp. RCC5203
Lineage: Eukaryota; Bacillariophyta; Bacillariophyceae; Bacillariales; Bacillariaceae
Description: SSU rRNA
Rfam family: Eukaryotic small subunit ribosomal RNA
Source: RNAcentral
GCUCGUAGUUGGAUUUGUGGCUGUCGCGUGCGACCCGACACCUAGUGUUGGUGUUUGCUUGCGUCGCCAUCCUUGGGUGGAACCUGUGUGGCAUUAGGUUGUCGUGCAGGGGAUGCCCAUCGUUUACUGUGAAAAAAUUAGAGUGUUCAAAGCAGGCUUAUGCCGUUGAAUAUGUUAGCAUGGAAUAAUAAGAUAGGACCUUGGUACUAUUUUGUUGGUUUGCGCACCAAGGUAAUGAUUAAUAGGGACAGUUGGGGGUAUUCGUAUUCCAUUGUCAGAGGUGAAAUUCUUGGAUUUUUGGAAGACGAACUACUGCGAAAGCAUUUACCAAGGAUGUUUUCAUUAAUCAAGAACGAAAGUUAGGGGAUCGAAGAUGAUUAGAUACCAUCGUAGUCUUAACCAUAAACUAUGCCGACAAGGGAUUGGCGGAGUUUCGUUUUGUCUCCGUCAGCACCUUAUGAGAAAUCACAAGUCUUUGGGUUCCGGGGGGAGUAUGGUCGCAAGGCUGAAACUUAAAGAAAUU